AAAGAAAAUAACAAUGAUUCCCUCAGUAACGGCGAGCGAAGAGGGAUAAGCUCAAAUUUUAAAUCUGUUGGGUUCCACUUAACAGAGUUGUAUUUUGAAGAAACGUUUUCUGCAUCCAGGAUUAGCCUAAAUCCUUUGGGAUAGGGUAUCAUGGAGGGUGAGAAUCCCGUUCAUGGUUAAUCUUAAGGAAGCUCUACGAUACGUUUUCCAAGAGUCGAGUUGUUUGGGAUUGCAGCUCAAAAUGGGAGGUAAAUUUCUCCUAAGGCUAAAUAUUGGCGAGAGACCGAUAGCGAACAAGUACCGUGAGGGAAAGAUGAAAAGAACUUUGAAAAGAGAGUUAAACAGUACGUGAAAUUGUUGAAAGGGAAACGAUUGAAG
Molecule: ribosomal RNA, 378 nt
Filed under: Funneliformis mosseae
Lineage: Eukaryota; Fungi; Glomeromycota; Glomeromycetes; Glomerales; Glomeraceae
Description: eukaryotic LSU rRNA
Rfam family: Eukaryotic large subunit ribosomal RNA
Source: RNAcentral